RNAcentral lists this long non-coding RNA (588 nucleotides) under Astyanax mexicanus (Mexican tetra). Its description in RNAcentral is "lncRNA (ENSAMXG00005010833.1)". Lineage: Eukaryota; Metazoa; Chordata; Actinopteri; Characiformes; Acestrorhamphidae. The record is from RNAcentral.
GUAAAAUCAAAGAAACUGUAAUGUUGUAGAUAUUUGGACCAUUUUCCUGUAGAAAUGUGAACACGUCAAUAAUUUGAGAUGAUAUUUAAGUGGAUGAUGUUUGUGUUUGGAUGGAUUAGAUGAAGCUCUGCUGCUUGGAGAGCUUUUUCCUCAGGAUCAGCCAAAGCCAGAAACCACGGGGAACCUUACAUCACUGAGGUCAAAGGUAAAGGUCAUGCAGCGAAGGAGCCCUAAAGAAGACUGUCCCAGUGAUUUUGAGCUGAUGUCCAGUAUGAUGAAGAGACUGGGCCAGUUAGAGAAGAAGGUCAAGACUCAGGCUCUGGACAUCAACAGCAAGGUGUGGCUUUAUGUUUAUAGAUUCAUCAUUAAGUGGUCUCUUAUUUUUCUAAAGCUACACAUACUCAACAGUAAAGUUACGAUAUAAUGUGUUUAUGCAUUUUUUAAUUUAAUCCAAUGUGUUUAUCUCUAUAAGAUGAAAAGAAUAGCAGUUCUGGAGGAGAAACUUCAACUCCUGCAAGGUAAAAUCCUGUUAGCAACACCACAUCAACCACCUGAGAUCCCAUAGUAAGCAAUAAGCAACACCGCAGC